AUGGAAAUCAGCGAUGAAGAAGGCAGGGAAAAGGAGAAAGAGAGAAAUACGAUAUUUCAAGGAAGCUAUAAAAGUGAGUCGACAACUGGCGCAGAAUCCCUGACACAGCAUUGGAGAUCGGCCCUCAAGCCAUACUGCAUCUGAGUCCCGACAACUCUUGAGGCCCUUGGGUUUGAGUUCAACCGCAGUUGGUGAAAGCCAGAGCAAGAUAAAUAAGUUCUUUUGAAACAUGGGGUCUGCGUGGUCCAGAAAGCUUCUGCUCUGUGUCAGAUGUCAUACUCCCCUCUGGGCUGACCAACAGACUCUCUUUGCACCCUGAUGUGCCCAUAACAUUUAACGGUGCUUUGGCAACCCCAAAUGGAAACUCUUACUUGGCCUCUGCAAUCAGUGUUUGUUUCUUUUCUGGUUGCUUUUGUAUUUCUCUUCCCUCCGUUAUUAUUAAAUGAGUUAUUCAACCCAGAUUCUUUGAAAUCUGUGAGGAUGGAAGCAUGGAAAAUUGAUGGAAAAUGUGCCGUCUUCUCACAGGGAUGCUGGAAGGAGAAAUUGA
Danio aesculapii is the source of this 547-nucleotide long non-coding RNA. RefSeq lists it as uncharacterized. The record is from RefSeq and is a predicted model, not a curated record. The transcript has 3 exons. Lineage: Eukaryota; Metazoa; Chordata; Actinopteri; Cypriniformes; Danionidae.